GACGAACGCUGGCGGCGUGCCUAAUACAUGCAAGUAGAACGCUGAAGGAAGGAGCUUGCUCUUUCUGGAUGAGUUGCGAACGGGUGAGUAACGCGUAGGUAACCUGCCUGGUAGCGGGGGAUAACUAUUGGAAACGAUAGCUAAUACCGCAUAAAAUUGAUUAUUGCAUGAUAGUCAAUUAAAAGGUGCAACUGCACCACUACCAGAUGGACCUGCGUUGUAUUAGCUAGUUGGUGGGGUAACGGCUCACCAAGGCGACGAUACAUAGCCGACCUGAGAGGGGGAUCGGCCACACUGGGACUGAGACACGGCCCAGACUCCUACGGGAGGCAGCAGUAGGGAAUCUUCGGCAAUGGACGGAAGUCUGACCGAGCAACGCCGCGGGAGUGAAGAAGGUUUUCGGAUCGUAAAGCUCUGUUGUAAGAGAAGAACGAGUGUGAGAGUGGAAAGUUCACACUGUGACGGUAUCUUACCAGAAAGGGACGGCUAACUACGUG
RNAcentral lists this ribosomal RNA (497 nucleotides) under uncultured bacterium. Its description in RNAcentral is "partial 16S ribosomal RNA". It matches the Rfam family "Bacterial small subunit ribosomal RNA", at positions 28 to 507 of the family's 1533-position model. The record is from RNAcentral.